CCUACGGGUGGCAGCAGUGAGGAAUAUUGGUCAAUGGACGAGAGUCUGAACCAGCCAAGUAGCGUGAAGGAUGACUGCCCUAUGGGUUGUAAACUUCUUUUAUAUGGGAAUAAAAUAAGGCAUGCAUACCUUUUUGUAUGUACCAUAUGAAUAAGGAUCGGCUAACUCCGUGCCAGCAGCCGCGGUAAUACGGAGGAUCCGAGCGUUAUCCGGAUUUAUUGGGUUUAAAGGGAGCGUAGGUGGAUUGUUAAGUCAGUUGUGAAAGUUUGCGGCUCAACCGUAAAAUUGCAAUUGAUACUGGCAGUCUUGAGUACAGUAGAGGUAGGCGGAAUUCGUGGUGUAGCGGUGAAAUGCUUAGAUAUCACGAAGAACUCCGAUUGCGAAGGCAGCUCACUGGACUGCAACUGACACUGAUGCUCGAAAGUGUGGGUAUCAAACAGGAUUAGAUACCCUAGUAGUC
RNAcentral lists this ribosomal RNA (460 nucleotides) under uncultured bacterium. RNAcentral's name for it is "partial 16S ribosomal RNA". It matches the Rfam family "Bacterial small subunit ribosomal RNA", at positions 338 to 795 of the family's 1533-position model. The record is from RNAcentral.